Non-coding RNA from Gossypium hirsutum (cotton), 87 nucleotides. Lineage: Eukaryota; Viridiplantae; Streptophyta; Magnoliopsida; Malvales; Malvaceae. The record is from Rfam.
UUUAGGGGAGCGUUUUGUCCAUGUCAGCACAAAGCGCUUCCUUGAGGGCGCGCUUUGUGCUGACGUGGACAAAACACUCCCCCAAGG